GACGAACGCUGGCGGCGUGCUUAACACAUGCAAGUCGAACGGAAAGGCCCUGCUUUUGUGGGGUGCUCGAGUGGCGAACGGGUGAGUAACACGUGAGUAACCUGCCCUUGACUUUGGGAUAACUUCAGGAAACUGGGGCUAAUACCGGAUAGGAGUUCCUGCUGCAUGGUGGGGGUUGGAAAGUUUCGGCGGUUGGGGAUGGACUCGCGGCUUAUCAGCUUGUUGGUGGGGUAGUGGCUUACCAAGGCUUUGACGGGUAGCCGGCCUGAGAGGGUGACCGGCCACAGUGGGACUGAGAUACGGCCCAGACUCCUACGGGAGGCAGCAGUGGGGAAUAUUGCACAAUGGGCGGAAGCCUGAUGCAGCAACGCCGCGUGCGGGAUGACGGCCUUCGGGUUGUAAACCGCUUUCGCCUGUGACGAAGCGUGAGUGACGGUAAUGGGUAAAGAAGCACCGGCUAACUACGUG
This 468-nucleotide ribosomal RNA is filed under the name uncultured bacterium. Its description in RNAcentral is "partial 16S ribosomal RNA". It matches the Rfam family "Bacterial small subunit ribosomal RNA", at positions 28 to 507 of the family's 1533-position model. The record is from RNAcentral.